RNAcentral lists this ribosomal RNA (433 nucleotides) under uncultured bacterium. Its description in RNAcentral is "partial 16S ribosomal RNA". It matches the Rfam family "Bacterial small subunit ribosomal RNA", at positions 29 to 507 of the family's 1533-position model. The record is from RNAcentral.
AACGAACGCUGGCGGCAUGCCUAACACAUGCAAGUCGAACGAGACCUUCGGGUCUAGUGGCGCACGGGUGCGUAACGCGUGGGAACCUGCCCUUAGGUUCGGCAUAACUCCCCGAAAGGGGUGCUAAUACCGGAUAAUGUCUUCGGACCAAAGAUUUAUCGCCUUUGGAUGGGCCUGCGCUGGAUUAGCUAGUUGGUAGGGUAAAAGCCUACCAAGGCGACGAUCCAUAGCUGGUCUGAGAGGAUGAUCAGCCACACUGGGACUGAGACACGGCCCAGACUCCUACGGGAGGCAGCAGUGGGGAAUAUUGGACAAUGGGCGAAAGCCUGAUCCAGCAAUGCCGCGUGAGUGAUGAAGGCCUUAGGGUUGUAAAGCUCUUUUACCCGGGAUGAUAAUGACAGUACCGGGAGAAUAAGCUCCGGCUAACUCCGUG